RNAcentral lists this non-coding RNA (1024 nucleotides) under Drosophila simulans. RNAcentral describes it as "Eukaryotic large subunit ribosomal RNA". It matches the Rfam family "Eukaryotic large subunit ribosomal RNA", at positions 1244 to 2087 of the family's 3401-position model. Lineage: Eukaryota; Metazoa; Arthropoda; Insecta; Diptera; Drosophilidae. The record is from Rfam by way of RNAcentral.
GACGGUGAUCAGCGAAGUUGAAUCCGUAAUGAGUGGGACAACUCACUGCCGAAGCAACUAGACCCUUAAAAUGAUGCGCUUAAAGCGUAUACCUAUACAUUACCGCUAAAGUAGAUGAUUUAUAUUACUUGUGAUAUAAAUUUGAAACUUUAGUGAGUAGGAAGGUACAAUGGUAUGCGUAGAAGUGUUUGGCGUAAGCCUGCAUGGAGCUGCCAUUGGUACAGAUCUUGGUGGUAGUAGCAAAUAAUCGAAUGAGACCUUGGAGGACUGAAGUGGAGAAGGGUUUCGUGUGAACAGUGGUUGAUCACGAGUUAGUCGGUCCUAAGUUCAAGGCGAAAGCCGAAAAUUUUCAAGUAAAACAAAAAUGCCUAACUAUAUAAACAAAGCGAAUAUAAUACACUUGAAUAAUUUUGAACGAAAGGGAAUACGGUUCCAAUUCCGUAACCUGUUGAGUAUCCGUUUGUUAUUAAAUAUGGGCCUCGUGCUCAUCCUGGCAACAGGAACGACCAUAAAGAAGCCGUCGAGAGAUAUCGGAAGAGUUUUCUUUUCUGUUUUAUAGCCGUACUACCAUGGAAGUCUUUCGCAGAGAGAUAUGGUAGAUGGGCUAGAAGAGCAUGACAUAUACUGUUGUGUCGAUAUUUUCUCCUCGGACCUUGAAAAUUUAUGGUGGGGACACGCAAACUUCUCAACAGGCCGUACCAAUAUCCGCAGCUGGUCUCCAAGGUGAAGAGUCUCUAGUCGAUAGAAUAAUGUAGGUAAGGGAAGUCGGCAAAUUAGAUCCGUAACUUCGGGAUAAGGAUUGGCUCUGAAGAUUGAGAUAGUCGGGCUUGAUUGGGAAACAAUAACAUGGUUUAUGUGCUCGUUCUGGGUAAAUAGAGUUUCUAGCAUUUAUGUUAGUUACUUGUUCCCCGGAUAGUUUAGUUACGUAGCCAAUUGUGGAACUUUCUUGCUAAAAUUUUUAAGAAUACUAUUUGGGUUAAACCAAUUAGUUCUUAUCAAUUAUAACGAAUCCACCACAGUGGCG